AGGACGAACGCUGGCGGCGUGCUUAACACAUGCAAGUCGAGCGGAAAGGCCCUUCGGGGUACUCGAGCGGCGAACGGGUGAGUAACACGUGAGCAAUCUGCCCCUAGCUUCGGGAUAGCUCCGGGAAACCGGAAUUAAUACCGAAUAUGACUUCGGCUGACAUCAGCUGCGGUGGAAAGUUUUUCGGCUAGGGAUGAGCUCGCGGCCUAUCAGCUUGUUGGUGGGGUAACGGCCUACCAAGGCGACG
This 247-nucleotide ribosomal RNA is filed under the name uncultured bacterium. RNAcentral describes it as "partial small subunit ribosomal RNA". It matches the Rfam family "Bacterial small subunit ribosomal RNA", at positions 26 to 278 of the family's 1533-position model. The record is from RNAcentral.